This is a long non-coding RNA of Nicotiana attenuata, 3533 nucleotides long. RefSeq lists it as uncharacterized. NCBI's taxonomy places the organism in Eukaryota, Viridiplantae, Streptophyta, Magnoliopsida, Solanales, Solanaceae. The record is from RefSeq and is a predicted model, not a curated record. The transcript has 2 exons.
UGCGUAUACACUACCCUCCCCAGACCCCACUAGUGGGAUUUCAUUGGGUCGUUGUUGUUGUUGUUGUUGUUGCAUGAUUACCUCCUGAAACCGCAUGAAAGAUCUCCACUUUCUUCUUUCUUUUUUUCUUCUUGAUGAUGGCAAGGAUCUUUAGUACUGAAGAAAGAAACAAUUCCUUAAGAGCAGAACUAAGAGAAUGUAUAGCUUUUCUCUACCCAUCUCAUUUUUGUUUUUUACCAAGAAAUGAUUUUGAGCUCAAUCAGAUUCUCACAAAACUUUUUUCCAACAUAGACAGUCUGAGGUUAUAAAUUACUCGAAGAGUACAUGAAUCAUUGGAAGAGCUUCUUGCAUUAGUGUUCAAGAUAUUAGUGUUGUGAAGAGCGUGAAGCGAGGAAAAGCGACAAUCUCCAUUUCACGAGAAGCGAGAAGCGAAGCGCUCGCUUUUUUUAAGUCAAGCGGAAUUUAAAAAAAAAAAUUAAAAUAAAUACUGCAUAGACAACACAUGUAAUUGUAAGAAAAUGUUCAAUACUUCAAUUAAAAAACUAAAGAGUAGCACAAUUAAAGCACAAAAUGAGCAUCCUAUUCUUCUACAAGAUUGUCAAAUUCUUGUAUUCCACUAUCAUUAUUAUAUUGCUCGUCAUCUUCUUUAACUUCUUCUUCAUCAACUAGGGACGAAGUAGCAGAAAUUGGGCAGAAACUGGAAAAAUUGGGCAAAAAUUUUCUGAAAAAAUUUCGCCCACAUUUCGCCGCUUUUUGGACGUUUAGAGAGAACGAAAAAGAAGAAGAAGAAGAAGACUGAAAAUCAGAAGUGCAGAAGCAGAACAUAUCUGUACUGUUGAAGAAGAAGAACAACAACCCUAGUUGAUGCUUUGAGAUUAUUUCAGAAAUCAGAAGUUGAUGAAGAAGAAAAGAAGAAGUCGCUGCUGUUGUCAAAGAAAAACCCUAGUCUCACUGCUGUUGAAGAAGUCCAGACAAUGUUUAUGGCUUAGAAACCUCGUUUUCUAAUAAAAUUGGGCUUGGGUUAAUUUUAAACAUAGAAGCGGACGCUUCUAACACUUCUUCUCGCUUCACCGCUUCUCGCUUUUUACAGAGAAGCGGUCGCUUUUUCGUACCAGAGUCGCUUCUAUUACCUGAAGCGCUGCCCUUCACGCCUCGCUUCGCUUUUUUAAUCACUACAAGAUACUGAAUGUGCUUUGUUGUUAUUCACAAUAUUUUGGAAAGCGUUAAGCGCAAAAAAGCGACGAAGCCUCGCUUCACAGAAGCGAAGCGCGCGCUUUUUUGUUGUGAAGCGCAAUUUAACACAUAAAUAAAAAAAAUAGGCAUAGAUAAAUGGCUAAGAACUCAUUAAAAAUAACAUAUUAAGCAAAUAAUAGAUUCAAUUCUUAAAUUUACUACAAUCAACAACCAAAAAAAAAAAAACAAUUAAUUCACGGAAGAAAACAAAAAAACAGAGCAUAAAGAGCACUUUUAAUAACAGAAAACAGAGCAUAACAGAAGAAAAAGAAGUGGUAUCAUGAUAACAAAAGAAACGUUUAAUAACAGAAGAAAAAGAAGUCGUUUAGGGCAAAAAAUGAGUGCUUAAAAAGUGAAAAAAAUUGAAAGAAGAACAGAAGAGAAGAAGAAUAACAGAAGAAGACAGAAAACAGAGCAUGAAGAAGAAGAACUGAAGAAGAAGAACAGAAGAAGAAGAAACUUACCGAGAUCCGGAGAUGAAGUCGUCGCUGGAGUUCGCUGGGCCGGAGAAGAAGACCUUCGUAUGUUUUGGUAACAGAUGCCUUCUGCUCGUAUGUUUAUUUGCCCAAAAUUUUUAAAAAAAAACCCUAGCUGAUGCCUUCUGCUCGCUUAAGCGAGCUUUUUCUCGCUUUUUCUAACUCGUCGCUUCUCGCUUAAGCGAGAAAAGCGCUCGCUUUUCUAAUGUGAGUCGCCUUUUUUCCCGAAAAGCGCUACCACUGCGCCUCGCCUCGCUUCAUCGCUUAAAGCGAGAAGCGAGCGCUUUUAAUAACACUAGUUAUUCAACUGCAUAUCUUUUGCUAAAGCUGAACUUCAUUAAGGUGUUAGUAUUUGUAGAAUCCGUGGCUACCACUCCUCUUGGCUUUCUAUUUACUCUAGUUCAUUAUGCAUUCCCUAGAGUCCAGUUGAGUCAAGAAUUUGAAAAAAAAAAGGUGAAUUACAUCAUGUUUUUAUGGAACAUGAUGAAUGCCUUCAUGUCUAUAAAGAUACAAGCUGCAUUACCUGUUGAAUUCUGGACAUCAUAGUAGUGUUAUCAAAGGUGAAAAGCGCAAAAAAGUUCUAAGGUUUGUUGGGGCUUUAAGCGCAAAGCUCAAAUAAAGCACGAGCUUUAACGAAGAAAGGCACAAAUGAAGAAAAACUACAAAUAUGUGUGUGUAGUCAAAGACUAAUAUCUAUAAGCAUGAAUACCAUAUAUAUGGACAAAGAAAUUGAAGAAAAUUUACGAUAAAGUAAACUAUUAAUUGUUUAGUGUCGCUUCUUCAGGAUUACGCUCAUUGGCAAGGAAAAGUAUGCCUUAGAGCUUUGAUGACAACACUAAAGCACCUGUUAAGCGAGACGAAGUGCUCAACACGUUUUUGAGCCUUGCUUCAGGGCUUAAGUGCGCUAUAAGCACGCAUUUGAUAACACUGCAUCGUAGCAGCCAUCUCUUCUUAAAUCUGUUUGUCCGCUUCUACUCGUGUUCUUGGAGCCUUUUGUCCAUUUCUGCACAGAUACUGCAGAGAAAAUACUGCCUAAAGUUUUUAAGUUUAACUACAGAACAAAUACAAAGGAAACACUGAAAUUCCAGCUUAACUAGAAACAAGGAUCAAAAGAAGGGACUAGGUCUCCACAAAUGCCUAUGCAACUAGAUAUGUCGCCACAAAAAGCCCUUGAUUUUGUGGCAACUUCGUGGGUCGUAACUGAAAAUCUGUUUUCCUGUAGUGUAAUUAGGGUCCUUUGGUAAACUCUUUAGUAGGACGGGAGUUUUGUUUCACAUCAAAGUUAUGUUAUACCUAAAACAUUCAACUCCCUUGUAGUUGCAAGUUGCAACUUGUCUUUUCCAAUCGCAAGGUUUGCAUUUUCUCAUUCAAGUCUUCAAGAUGUUUGCUUUGUGCAGGUUGGAACGUCCAAAUUGUUUUAUAUACAGACAUAUGAUGAGUUGAAUUUGUUUGGGUCUGCCCUGCUUUGUUUUUCUUUGUUGUAAGUAUCAUUUUAUUUUUGGCAGGUGGUGAGCGACCUCCUGAUUCCAUUGUUGAUGUGAAAGCUACAGAGUGAGCUAGUCAUCUCUUUAAGCUAUUGUGGUGAGGGAACUCCUGAUUCCAUUGUUGAUGUGAAAGCUACGCAGUGAGCUAGUCAUCUCCUUAAGCUCUUGUCAGUCUUCUACUAUCUUAGUUAUUUAUGAGAAUGUAGUGUCAUUUUCUUGUAUUAUUACUAAGACAUGAAAAAAAGUGUUGUGAUUUAUCUUCUACUCUUGUAGUUAUUUUAUUACUAAGACGAGGAAAAAUGUGUUCUGAUGUUGUUAUGAUUAUGGUUAUGUUUGACGA